AUGGAGGUUCUGCUCAGGCAACCCUGCACUGCUUGCAGCCGACGCCGUGGAGGUAUCCAAACCUCAGAGGACUACAGGUUCUAUGCCAUCUCGGCGGAGUACCCUGAGUUCAGCAACAAGGAGAAGACACUCGUGCUGCAGUUCACGGUGAAGCAUGAGCAAAAGCUUGUCUGCGGUGGUGGUUACAUCAAGUUGCUCGGAGAUGUUUUGCAUCAGCCUGUCAUUGCUAAGGAAGAAGCAGUACUUGAAGAAGCAGACUACAUGUUUUCUUGUUGUGAAGCACUAGAUAGUUCUAUUUAUUCAUUCCUGUUAUAG
Molecule: ribosomal RNA, 315 nt
Filed under: Triticum aestivum (bread wheat)
Lineage: Eukaryota; Viridiplantae; Streptophyta; Magnoliopsida; Poales; Poaceae
Description: partial small subunit ribosomal RNA
Source: RNAcentral